GCCUUUUGACGAAAUCCACCAGUAUACACCUCGUUUUGUCUGAUCUGCGAAGCUAAGGAGGGUUGAGCCUGGAUAAUGCAUGGAUGGGCGACCAUCUCAAUAGAACAGGCGCUAUCGGCA
This 120-nucleotide ribosomal RNA is filed under the name Petromyzon marinus (sea lamprey). Lineage: Eukaryota; Metazoa; Chordata; Hyperoartia; Petromyzontiformes; Petromyzontidae. The record is from RNAcentral.